This 468-nucleotide long non-coding RNA is filed under the name Chinchilla lanigera (long-tailed chinchilla). RNAcentral's name for it is "lncRNA (ENSCLAG00000024559.1)". Lineage: Eukaryota; Metazoa; Chordata; Mammalia; Rodentia; Chinchillidae. The record is from RNAcentral.
AUCUCCAUUUACAGAUCAGUCACAAUUUGUGAAAUGAUCCUCUGGACCAACUUUGUAAUGCGCUGCUAUGGCAGUCAAGGAAAGAAUUCUCUCGCAUUGCGCUGGGUUUCCCACCAUUCAGGAGAUGCUGUAGAAACAGAAAACUCAUUCUUAAACAUUGCAUCCUUCAUUCAGCCUCAUGAUGACAGGAUGGAAAACAGUCUCUCUUGGCCCACACAUGAGACUCAUUGUAAGAAUAUUUGCUCAGCUCCAAAUUCGUGGAUAGCUUUUGACUGACAUCUAUUCACUUCAAGGGUGAUUUUCCUGUUGGCAAGAGGCAGAAGAGACACACCAAGCAUCACCUUCCGGAACAAGCAAUUUAAGUACUAUAAUGAGAUGGGUCUUUUCAGAGUCUAUAAUUGGUGACAAGGUAUGGCAGCUUCAUAUCAGACAAAGAUGUACAACACAGAGCUUAUUAAUGAGGAUGGA